This is a non-coding RNA of Paramuricea clavata, 553 nucleotides long. The record is from the annotation of a GenBank genome assembly. Lineage: Eukaryota; Metazoa; Cnidaria; Anthozoa; Malacalcyonacea; Plexauridae.
CGAAUAAUUAUAUUGUCGAUCCUCGCUGGCAUGUCAUUUAGAUAAAUAUAUACGAAGUGACUAUAUGACCGGCAGCCGGUCACGGUUUAUAAAAUACUAAAUGGCCGGCAGUCUAGUGACUAUUGUUAAAGUUUAAUUUUUAUAAGAUAAACCUAUCCCCAACCCCAAACCCUUUUCUAACCUUAACCCCUAACCCCUAACCCUAACCUUUUGAGAGUUAGAAAAGUCGGGAAAAAAAGUUUAAAAAAUUUUAACAAAAAACAAUGCUAAGUCAGACAAAACACAUCGCGACCCCGACUGCGCUUAACUUUCCGCACGCAGCGCCCUUGCCGUAUGAGCUAACGGCAAGCUCGGUAAAAGUUAACGCAAACAAAAGUUUUUAUAUUCAACUAUAGUCACUAGACUGCCGGCCAUUUAGUAUUUGAUAAACCGUGACCGGCUGCCGGUCAUAUAGUCACUUCGAAAUAUAUAUCGUACAUUAAACGUUGUACUGUUUACUGUAUAUUAACUGCUGACAAUUUCGUCGUCGAUACGGCUUCCACUAUUGGCACAC